CGCUUCACAUACGCAACGGUUUCUUCCCGUAACGCUUCUUUUCUUUUAACAAAGCUUCUUUACUCCCUCUCUCUCUUUCGCAUACUUAUCUCUCUUUCAAAACUAUAUCAAUUACUCUGUAAUUUUUCACCUUUCUUAUUCCUACUGAAUUUCUCUCAUACCUUUAACUGUGUUAAUUUCUAUGAACUCAACUCCAUCUACUUUCUUUGUGCUAUUCCAUUUUUGGGGAAAUCAUAAAUAUCUGUUUAUUCACGGUGCUACUCUUUAUAUUUUUUCCUCACCAUAUAUAUACUAAUUUCGACGCCGAUGAAGUCUUCCGAAGAAACCCAUCCCCGGCCCCCGAUUUCAGGAAAAAUCGGUGGGGACAAUCAAGGAUACCAAAACACAAUCAAAAGCUUGAGGUUACAUAUUGACUGUUUCUUAAUAUGUGGUAUUAGCACUUGAUACUCAUUCUGUUAAGAUUUAAAGAGAUUGUCAAUGGAUGGAACUAGCAUGGCGAGUUCGAGCUGUAAGAAGAGGAUAAUGGAGUUGAGCUACUGUUUUAGUAAUUCUCUCAAGAGUUGGUCGACGAUUUUGUCCACAAGGAAGUCGAGAAUUUAUGCAAUUUAUUUUUGCAUUAAAUAAUUGAUUAGAGGUGGAACAUUGAGCAUGUUUUUUGCUGAUUAUUGCUUGAUUUCUUAAGAAAAUGGAUACUUUGAAGGAUGAGAAGUGAUCAAAAUUAAAGUGACUAUGCGAUUUGUGUUGGCUUUGCUUAAAAUAGAAUUUUGUGCCAUUUGGGACUGAUUGAGAUACAUAUAAUAUUGUACUAUCAAUUGUCAUCCGCGAUUGCCAUAUUAUGCAGCCUCAAUGUUACAAUAAAGUUAUGUCAAAAUUAGGCAGGAUAUGAGGCGGCAAUCAAAUGAAACUAGGGAGACAAUAGUAAUAUCUACUGUGCCACAACUAGAGGCCAUAGUGAGGUUGAGUUGCUACUCUUCUUUUGGAUUGAGACCCUUUUAUGGGGAAUGUGGACUAAUCCUUUUAAAGCCAAGUACUUGUGUAGCAUUACUCCAAUAUGAUGUAACAUCUCUUGAAAAUUAGUGGUCCCUGGCAACAAUUUUAUAGAGAAAAUUCGAUUAAAUUUAUCUUUUCGUUUUUUUGGUUUAAUUCUUUUGAAUGCGGUUGCUAAAUGUAGUCUGCAAUUUAUAUCUGUUUUUAAUA
This is a long non-coding RNA of Nicotiana tabacum (common tobacco), 1197 nucleotides long. RefSeq lists it as uncharacterized. The record is from RefSeq and is a predicted model, not a curated record. NCBI's taxonomy places the organism in Eukaryota, Viridiplantae, Streptophyta, Magnoliopsida, Solanales, Solanaceae.